Molecule: ribosomal RNA, 379 nt
Filed under: uncultured bacterium
Lineage: Bacteria
Description: bacterial SSU rRNA
Rfam family: Bacterial small subunit ribosomal RNA
Source: RNAcentral
AUUGAACGCUGGCGGCAUACCUUACACAUGCAAGUCGAACGGCAGCGGGCCUUCGGGUGCCGGCGAGUGGCGAACGGUGAGUAAUGCAUCGGAACGUGCCAUUGAGUGGGGGAUAACGUAGCGAAAGUUACGCUAAUACCGCAUAUUCUGUGAGCAGGAAAGCAGGGGACCGCAAGGCCUUGCGCUCUUUGAGCGGCCGAUGUCAGAUUAGCUAGUUGGUGAGGUAAAGGCUUACCAAGGCGACGAUCUGUAGCGGGUCUGAGAGGAUGAUCCGCCACACUGGAACUGAGACACGGUCCAGACUCCUACGGGAGGCAGCAGUGGGGAAUUUUGGACAAUGGGCGCAAGCCUGAUCCAGCCAUGCCGCGUGAGUGAAGAA